RNAcentral lists this non-coding RNA (205 nucleotides) under Limnobacter sp. 130. The record is from RNAcentral. Lineage: Bacteria; Pseudomonadati; Pseudomonadota; Betaproteobacteria; Burkholderiales; Burkholderiaceae.
UGUACAAUCGGCUUUGUUGGUGCUCUUGGAACAGUCCCUGUUCUGAAGUUAAACGGGAAGCUCUUUAGCGCUGCCCCCGCAACGGUACGCAGACAAGCGUCAAGCUUGGCUUUCAUCAAAAACCAUUGGGUGUUUUCAAACGCCUGAGAAGGUGGUGAGGGUAAGUCUGCCAGCCCGGAUACCGGCCAACAACGGGGUGCGCCAU